UACAGAGGGGGCAAGCGUUGUUCGGAAUUACUGGGCGUAAAGGGCGCGUAGGUGGCCUUCUAAGUUGAACGUGAAAUCCCUGGGCUCAACCCAGGAACUGCGUCCAAGACUGGGAGGCUUGAAUCCGGGAGAGGGAUGCGGAAUUCCAGGUGUAGCGGUGAAAUGCGUAGAUAUCUGGAGGAACACCGGUGGCGAAGGCGGCAUCCUGGACCAAUACUGACGCUGAGGAGCGAAAGCCAGGGGAGCAAACGGG
This 253-nucleotide ribosomal RNA is filed under the name uncultured bacterium. RNAcentral's name for it is "partial 16S ribosomal RNA". It matches the Rfam family "Bacterial small subunit ribosomal RNA", at positions 524 to 776 of the family's 1533-position model. The record is from RNAcentral.